UCAGAACACUACUGUGCCCUACCUACAGCAUCCACGUGGUCGCCCGAGUAAAGGAAAGCAGACAAAGUGGACCCCUAGUGAAUCCCUGGGACCACCCGAAGGCGCGUGCCCUCAGCUCUACGGUUCGACACGGUUCGACACACUCCAUGCCGAAUACUUUGAACUUUGGUCCAAAGUUUCGGUCAACUACUCCCACGCAAAAUGGCGAAACAAUUUGAACACACUCUGAAUGGUCCAACUGAAUCUUAACCACCAACCCACUCCCCUCCGACCCCAGCGUCAGAGAUGGCUACCGCUGAGGCACCGCGAAGAAGCAUUUCCAGGGCCUGGAGAUGGUGAUCCAGGCCCCUGGAGAGAGAGAGAGACGAGCAGGACAGAAUGGACAGAGGUCAUUUUCCAGGGAUGCUGAACCCUGCACAAGGUGGAAGUUACUGAGCAAGUGAGUUGGAUGAGUGGGGCUAAGUGCUGAGGCUGUUGUACACCAGCAGCAUGGCUCAAGAGGGCCCUGCAGACGAGCCAGGUGUUGGAGAAGCUGAAGAUAACUGGAUGGCCUGGCCCAAGGACUUGGAAAACCCAGAAUGGUGCUCAAUGGGAAGCCGACUCACCCUCUGGCUCUGCAGAGAGUGGCCCCACUGCGCAAGAACAGCUGGAGCCGAAAAGGAUGAACCUUAUGAGGUGAGAAGCUGGGUCCGGAGACCCCAGUCUCACCUCGGGGAGAAAAGAAAAGAUGUACCUACCUUCCCGACCACUACGAACUUUCUACAGCUCCGCGCCUCAGCUUGCGUCUCAUCCAUCUGAAAGAUCUUACAUGAGAAAAGCAGGUGCAUCAGCCAGAAUAUCAUGGCUAGGGGGCGGCCAGAGACCACUAGAUCGUGGUAUUGGUCUCCGCAGCCCCGGAAAACCUGAUGAAUUAGAAGACUUUGAAGAUGCCUGCUGCUUGGUGACAGAACGGAGUGUUUGAAUGGCAGCCGUGAGACAAUCCAGCAUCUUUGGAGCCUUGCCACCACGGUGUGCGAUGUGGAGCCUCACAAAGGCCCCUUUGAGAUUGGAAACCUGCUCCGCUUCAGUCUCUUGUAUGUGGAGCACAACCUUCAAUCCUGAAGGGAAGGUUUGCUAAGCAGGAGAGCUCUGGGAAGCUCUGUCUCCUGAGGACUAGGAUUGAAGCCAGGUCCACACGUGAGUGCUCUACCACUGAUCUACACUGGCAGCCCCCCUUUUUAUUUAUUUUGAGACAAGAUCUCACCGAGUUGCCCAUACUGGCUUCAAACUUGGAACCCUCAUGCCUUAGACUCUUGAGUAAUGGGUAUUAUAGGCAUGAACCACUGUGCCCAGUCUGGAGGGUGUCUUGGUUGUUAAUCACCUCUGUAAGAAUGAGUUCUGGGGCCCAAACACCCAGCUUUAUGAGUUGUUAACACCAUGCCUCUCUGGUAUAUGGCACAGUAUCUGCUUAAUAAACUUGUGAAGAAAGAU
Alexandromys fortis (reed vole) is the source of this 1470-nucleotide long non-coding RNA. RefSeq lists it as uncharacterized. The transcript has 8 exons. Lineage: Eukaryota; Metazoa; Chordata; Mammalia; Rodentia; Cricetidae. The record is from RefSeq and is a predicted model, not a curated record.